UACGGGGGGGGCAAGCGUUGUUCGGAAUUACUGGGCGUAAAGGGUUCGUAGGUGGCCAACUAAGUCAGACGUGAAAUCCCUCAGCUCAACUGGGGAACUGCGUCUGAUACUGGUUGGCUUGAGUGCAGGAGAGGAACGCGGAAUUCCAGGUGUAGCGGUGAAAUGCGCAGAGAUCGGGAGGAACAUUCGUAGUGAAGGCGGCAUUUUGGGUUGGUAUUGACGUUGAGGAGCGAAAGCGUGGGGAGCAAACAGG
This 253-nucleotide ribosomal RNA is filed under the name uncultured bacterium. RNAcentral describes it as "partial 16S ribosomal RNA". It matches the Rfam family "Bacterial small subunit ribosomal RNA", at positions 524 to 776 of the family's 1533-position model. The record is from RNAcentral.